Molecule: transfer RNA, 75 nt
Filed under: Verrucomicrobiales bacterium
Lineage: Bacteria; Pseudomonadati; Verrucomicrobiota; Verrucomicrobiia; Verrucomicrobiales
Also listed under: 7 other names
Description: tRNA-Val
Rfam family: tRNA
About the family: Transfer RNA (tRNA) molecules are approximately 80 nucleotides in length.
Source: RNAcentral
GCGCGAUUAGCUCAGGGGUAGAGCGCAUGCUUCACACGCAUGAUGUCGCAGGUUCAAAUCCUGCAUCGCGCACCA